UGGGGAAUAUUGCACAAUGGGGGGAAACCCUGAUGCAGCAACGCCGCGUGAGUGAUGACGGCCUGGUUGUAAGCUCUGUCUUCAGGGACGGAUAAUGACGGUACC
Molecule: ribosomal RNA, 105 nt
Filed under: uncultured bacterium
Lineage: Bacteria
Description: partial 16S ribosomal RNA
Rfam family: Bacterial small subunit ribosomal RNA
Source: RNAcentral